This 487-nucleotide ribosomal RNA is filed under the name uncultured bacterium. RNAcentral's name for it is "bacterial SSU rRNA". It matches the Rfam family "Bacterial small subunit ribosomal RNA", at positions 8 to 507 of the family's 1533-position model. The record is from RNAcentral.
AGAGUUUGAUCAUGGCUCAGGAACGAACGCUGGCGGCGUGCUUAACACAUGCAAGUCGAACGGUGAACCAGAGCUUGCUCUGGGGAUCAGUGGCGAACGGGUGAGUAACACGUGGGCAACCUGCCCCAGGCUCUGGGAUAACCUCGGGAAACCGAUGCUAAUACCGGAUACGACCACUUCGGACAUCCGAUGGUGGUGGAAAGUUUUUCGGUCUGGGAUGGGCCCGCGGCCUAUCAGCUAGUUGGUGGGGUAAUGGCCUACCAAGGCGACGACGGGUAGCCGGCCUGAGAGGGCGACCGGCCACACUGGAACUGAGACACGGUCCAGACUCCUACGGGAGGCAGCAGUGGGGAAUAUUGCACAAUGGGCGAAAGCCUGAUGCAGCGACGCCGCGUGAGGGACGACGGCCUUCGGGUUGUAAACCUCUUUCAGCAGGGACGAAGCGAAAGUGACUGUACCUGCAGAAGAAGCACCGGCUAACUACGUG